GAUGAACGCUGGCGGCGUGCUUAACACAUGCAAGUCGAACGGAAAGGCCCAAGCUUGCUUGGGUACUCGAGUGGCGAACGGGUGAGUAACACGUGGGUGAUCUGCCCUGCACUUCGGGAUAAGCCUGGGAAACUGGGUCUAAUACCGGAUAGGACCACUUCUUGAUGUUGUGGUGGAAAGUUUUUUCGGUGUGGGAUGAGCUCGCGGCCUAUCAGCUUGUUGGUGGGGUAAUGGCCUACCAAGGCGUCGACGGGUAGCCGGCCUGAGAGGGUGUACGGCCACAUUGGGACUGAGAUACGGCCCAGACUCCUACGGGAGGCAGCAGUGGGGAAUAUUGCACAAUGGGCGCAAGCCUGAUGCAGCGACGCCGCGUGGGGGAUGACGGCCUUCGGGUUGUAAACUCCUUUCGCUAGGGACGAAGCGUUUUGUGACGGUACCUGGAGAAGAAGCACCGGCUAACUACGUG
RNAcentral lists this ribosomal RNA (466 nucleotides) under uncultured bacterium. Its description in RNAcentral is "partial 16S ribosomal RNA". It matches the Rfam family "Bacterial small subunit ribosomal RNA", at positions 28 to 507 of the family's 1533-position model. The record is from RNAcentral.